This 426-nucleotide ribosomal RNA is filed under the name uncultured bacterium. Its description in RNAcentral is "bacterial SSU rRNA". It matches the Rfam family "Bacterial small subunit ribosomal RNA", at positions 359 to 776 of the family's 1533-position model. The record is from RNAcentral.
GAGGCUUCGGCAAUGGGGGAAACCCUGACCGAGCGACGCCGCGUGGAGGAUGAAGGCCCUUGGGUCGUAAACUCCUUUCGUGGGGAAAGAAUGUGUCCGGGGUAAAUACUCCCGGGCAUUGACGGUACCCCAAGAAGAAGCCCCGGCUAACCCCGUGCCAGCAGCCGCGGUAAGACGGGGGGGGCAAGCGUUGUUCGGAAUCACUGGGCGUAAAGGGCGUGUAGGCGGUUCGGUAAGUGGGAUGUGAAAUGCCCCGGCUCACCCGGGGACCUGCAUCCCAAACUGCUGAGCUUGAGUACAGGAGAGGGUGGGGGAAUUCCAGGUGUAGCGGUGAAAUGCGUAGAUAUCUGGAGGAACACCGGUGGCGAAGGCGCCCACCUGGCCUGCUACUGACGCUGAGGCGCGAAAGCUAGGGGAGCAAACGGG